GAGUUUGAUCGUGGCUCAGGAUAAACGCUGGCGGCGUGCAUGAGACAUGCAAGUCGAACGGACGAUCGAGGCUUGCCUUGAUCGUUAGUGGCGGACGGCUGAGUAACGCGUAGGUGACCUGCCCCGAAGUGGGGAAUAACUGCCCGAAAGGGUGGCUAAUACCGCAUGUGGUGGUGUGUUCAUUCACACCAGUAAAGCCGCAAGGCGCUUCGGGAGGGGCCUGCGUCCGAUUAGCUCGUUGGUGGGGUAACGGCUCACCAAGGCGACGAUCGGUAGGUGGUCUGAGAGGACGAUCACCCAGACUGGGACUGAGACACGGCCCAGACUCCUACGGGAGGCAGCAGUCGGGAAUUUUGCGCAAUGGACGAAAGUCUGACGCAGCAACGCCGCGUGAGGGAUGAAGGCCUU
This 408-nucleotide ribosomal RNA is filed under the name uncultured bacterium. RNAcentral's name for it is "bacterial SSU rRNA". It matches the Rfam family "Bacterial small subunit ribosomal RNA", at positions 9 to 418 of the family's 1533-position model. The record is from RNAcentral.